RNAcentral lists this transfer-messenger RNA (343 nucleotides) under Eubacteriales. Its description in RNAcentral is "SIG694 sp015063795 Standard tmRNA". It matches the Rfam family "transfer-messenger RNA". From Rfam's summary of the family: Bacterial tmRNA, also known as 10Sa RNA or SsrA, is named for its dual tRNA and mRNA-like properties. Its role is to liberate the mRNA from a stalled ribosome. To accomplish this part of the tmRNA is used as a reading frame that ends in a translation stop signal. RNAcentral also lists the same sequence under 1 other name. The record is from RNAcentral. Lineage: Bacteria; Bacillati; Bacillota; Clostridia.
GGGGGCGUAAAGGUUUCGACGGGGAUUUUGAUGCCAUGUAAGCGGGUAGAGUCGCGCAAACUCUUAAAUCAGGCGCAAUUUAAAAACAAACGCUAACAAUAGAGUAGCUCUCGCUGCCUAAGUGCAGCCGUCCUCCCGUGAAGUACCGCGGUCACGGACAGGGCGUCACGCAGCGGUGAACGUGAACUGCCAGUCUCCUUUCUAACAGUCAUGAACAAAAAGGAUACCGAUUCUGCUGCCUGCCGUUUGGCGGCAAGAUCGGGAAUUUAAAAAACGGCUGCACCCGGAGAAAGCGUGGCAAAGAGGUUUUCGGACAGGGGUUCGACUCCCCUCGCCUCCACCA